AUGAUGGAUAGGCCAAGUACUUCUACCAACCCACUCUUCCUUAAGAAAGACGACGACCCGAACAACUACGUCACCAAACUACACCUCUUUGGUACACAACGAGCCUUGCAUGAAGAGCAACUAGCAAUGAGCAACCGCAUCGACAACCUCGCCACCGACUUGCGACUCUUCGAGCAACGCACAAGAGACUACUUCGACCACAAGCUCGACGAGUACAAGCAUAAGAAUGACACAAGAAUGGAUGAGAUUCGUGCCUUGUUGGUCAACCGCUCUUCUACCACUUUGUCCUACUCAAGAAGGAGCCGCUUGAGUUGA
RNAcentral lists this ribosomal RNA (315 nucleotides) under Triticum aestivum (bread wheat). Its description in RNAcentral is "partial small subunit ribosomal RNA". Lineage: Eukaryota; Viridiplantae; Streptophyta; Magnoliopsida; Poales; Poaceae. The record is from RNAcentral.